RNAcentral lists this ribosomal RNA (500 nucleotides) under uncultured Oscillospiraceae bacterium. RNAcentral's name for it is "bacterial SSU rRNA". It matches the Rfam family "Bacterial small subunit ribosomal RNA", at positions 10 to 507 of the family's 1533-position model. The record is from RNAcentral. Lineage: Bacteria; Bacillati; Bacillota; Clostridia; Eubacteriales; Oscillospiraceae.
AGUUUGAUCCUGGCUCAGGAUGAACGCUGGCGGCGUGCUUAACACAUGCAAGUCGAACGAGAAUCCAGUGAAGGAGUUUUCGGACAACGGAUCUGGAGGAAAGUGGCGGACGGGUGAGUAACGCGUGAGCAAUCUGCCUUGGAGUGGGGAAUAACGGUUGGAAACAGCCGCUAAUACCGCAUGAUGCGUCUGGGAGGCAUCUCUCUGGACGCCAAAGAUUUAUCGCUCUGAGAUGAGCUCGCGUCUGAUUAGCUUGUUGGCGGGGUAAAGGCCCACCAAGGCGACGAUCAGUAGCCGGACUGAGAGGUUGGCCGGCCACAUUGGGACUGAGACACGGCCCAGACUCCUACGGGAGGCAGCAGUGGGGAAUAUUGGGCAAUGGGCGCAAGCCUGACCCAGCAACGCCGCGUGAAGGAAGAAGGCUUUCGGGUUGUAAACUUCUUUUCUGAGGGACGAAGAAAGUGACGGUACCUCAGGAAUAAGCCACGGCUAACUACGUG